This 73-nucleotide transfer RNA is filed under the name Bos taurus (domestic cattle). It matches the Rfam family "tRNA". From Rfam's summary of the family: Transfer RNA (tRNA) molecules are approximately 80 nucleotides in length. Their secondary structure includes four short double-helical elements and three loops (D, anti-codon, and T loops). Further hydrogen bonds mediate the characteristic L-shaped molecular structure. tRNAs have two regions of fundamental functional importance: the anti-codon, which is responsible for specific mRNA codon recognition, and the 3' end, to which the tRNAs corresponding amino acid is attached (by aminoacyl-tRNA synthetases). tRNAs cope with the degeneracy of the genetic code in two manners: having more than one tRNA (with a specific anti-codon) for a particular amino acid; and 'wobble' base-pairing, i.e. permitting non-standard base-pairing at the 3rd anti-codon position. Lineage: Eukaryota; Metazoa; Chordata; Mammalia; Artiodactyla; Bovidae. The record is from Rfam by way of RNAcentral. RNAcentral also lists the same sequence under 3 other names.
UCCCUGAUGGUCUAGUGGUUAGGACUCGGCGCUUCCACUGCUGAGGGCAUGGGUUCAAUCCCUGGUCAGGGAA